Lucilia cuprina (Australian sheep blowfly) is the source of this 1139-nucleotide long non-coding RNA. RefSeq lists it as uncharacterized. NCBI's taxonomy places the organism in Eukaryota, Metazoa, Arthropoda, Insecta, Diptera, Calliphoridae. The transcript has 4 exons. The record is from RefSeq and is a predicted model, not a curated record.
UAUACUCACGAUAUAACCUGGUGGAGACCAUUUAAACUCGAAUAUAAACUGGUGGAGACCAUUAAAACUCUGGAAUUUUUUUGAUUAUGAUGAUUCAAUGAUAUAACUUUUUUAUUUUUGUGGGAUAACCUGGCAGUUUGUGAGUUUAAUAACUCCGCCAACACACUUCAAAGUUAAAAAAAAAAAAUGGCAAAUAAACAAAAUUUAAUUAAUUAUACCGAAGAAUUAAUAGAUGUGAUUGAUAUGCAAGAUUCUUGCAUUAUCAAUUCAGUGGAAGUGGACAGUGAAAAUUUUAAUGAUGAAAUUGAUCUUCAACAAUUUCUUCAAACCAUAAGAAAGCUGCCAAUGUCACAUACAGGAGUUUGCCGUAUAUAACAAACGCGGACCUAACAGAAGCUAUUCCACAUUUGGGGCUACGUGCGGAAUUCCGUAGCAAACUAGUUACAUGGAGAAAAACUGAGGAGUUGACAAUGAGCCCUCAAAGGUCCAGUUAUGGAUUGACAACAAUGUUGACAUGUCCCCAAGCAGUUCAUUAAUUAACAACAAAAAAGGAUUUGAAGACAUUGAUAAAUUCAUCACCAAAAGGUAGAGAUAUUCUAAAAUACGCAACUGAAUCCCAAAAAUUAACAUGUCAGCAAAGGGAAGACAUAGUUAAUAUCAUUAUAGAAGAUGUCAUCUAUAAAAACACUGUGCUUUAUCCAAAUGACUUUCAAAAGCUAACCGCGGAAACUUGCUCCCUGUUUCCCUCUGAAAAUAAUAUGAAGGUAAGAAAGAAAACAUAUAGUCUAUAGACUAGCAUUGUAGUAUAGUCUAUAGUCCAGUCUAGUCUAUAAUAUAGUCUAGUCCUGUCUAUAGUCUAGUCCAAUCUAUAGUCUAGUCCAGUCUAUAGUCUAGUCUAUAGUUUUUUACUGAAACAUGAAGAUUUUUUAGAAACUUUGUAUAGUAUAAAUUCAUCUAGUUUUAUUGACUUAUCCAAAGAGGACUAUUUCCAAAAUAUUUGUACACCAAACAAAAUUAAUUUUAAGGUUUGUGAAGUUUGUAAUGAAGUUAUUUUUAAGGGAACUCGUUAUAAAGAAAAAUAUUAUUUAACUGCUAAUUUGAAUUGUAUUGAAUUGCACAAAAUUAAGAGUUUUUUAAUU